GCGCCAUUAGCUCAGUUGGUAGAGCAGCUGACUCUUAAUCAGCGGGUCCGGGGUUCGAGACCCUGAUGGCGCA
RNAcentral lists this transfer RNA (73 nucleotides) under Candidatus Zixiibacteriota bacterium. RNAcentral's name for it is "candidate division Zixibacteria bacterium tRNA-Lys". It matches the Rfam family "tRNA". Rfam says of the family: Transfer RNA (tRNA) molecules are approximately 80 nucleotides in length. Their secondary structure includes four short double-helical elements and three loops (D, anti-codon, and T loops). The record is from RNAcentral. Lineage: Bacteria; Pseudomonadati; Candidatus Zixiibacteriota. RNAcentral also lists the same sequence under 1 other name.